Equus quagga is the source of this 805-nucleotide long non-coding RNA. RefSeq lists it as uncharacterized. NCBI's taxonomy places the organism in Eukaryota, Metazoa, Chordata, Mammalia, Perissodactyla, Equidae. The record is from RefSeq and is a predicted model, not a curated record. The transcript has 4 exons.
GGCGAAGCCUGUAGCUCCACACCUUCACCUUGGCUUCCGGGGACUUGUUGACAGAAUGGCCGUGCAAACAGCCUGUGGACAAUGAAGUGGCCUCCCUCUUAAGAUGCUCAGAACAGCAAGGUAUUGAUCCCAGAUGAAUCUCUCGAAGUAUCCUUUACUGCCCUUCCAAGACCCUCCAUUCCCUGGAGCAUAGUGAGGUGGCUCUCCUCGUCAGCAUCUUCCUGGGAUGGGCAUCAAGAACAGGACUUAAAGGAAAUAUCAUUGCUAAGACACUCUUCCACAAAAACAGCGCCCUCUGGAUCCGCACCCCACACCCCCACCUCCGGCUUCAUCCUGCUUCUUUCCCUCACGUGGGACGCCUACCACAGCAUGGCUUUUGCCAAGCGGUGCCAUGUCCACAGCUGGGAUCCAAACCAGCGAACGCCGAGCUUCUGAGAAGCAGAACGUGCGAACUUAACUGCUGCGCCAUCAGGCCGGCCCCACAUGAACAGUUUAAAUAUUACAUCAUUAAAAGUAAAAAGAUUUGGGCCUUUUUAAAUAUCACUAUCUAACCUUUGGACCUCCAACUCCAGUCCUCUGAUGUUUCAUGGGAAAGUCUUCAAACUCUAUCCUGAUCAUUGCCGUGCAGAUUAAGUUAGAUCACUUCACUUUUGCAAAUGGCUCCAAAAUCACCUCUCCCAGGAAUCUGGGCGAGCCAAAACUCUCUCUUUUUUUUUUUUUCAUUUUAUUUUGUUUAUUUAUUUAUUUUGAGGAAGAUUAGCCCUGAGCCAACAUCUGCUGUAAUCCUCCUCUUUUUGCUGAGGAA